This 507-nucleotide ribosomal RNA is filed under the name uncultured bacterium. Its description in RNAcentral is "partial 16S ribosomal RNA". The record is from RNAcentral.
GGAGUUAGCCGGUGCUUCUUCUGUGAGUGAUGUCCUUCCUGCCGGCUAUUAACCCGCAGGCCUUCUUCCUCACUGAAAGUGCUUUACAACCCGAAGGCCUUCUUCACACACGCGGCAUGGCUGGAUCAGGGUUGCCCCCAUUGUCCAAUAUUCCCCACUGCUGCCUCCCGUAGGAGUCUGGGCCGUGUCUCAGUCCCAGUGUGGCUGAUCAUCCUCUCAGACCAGCUACGGAUCGUCGCCUUGGUGAGCCGUUACCUCACCAACCAGCUAAUCCGACAUAGGCUCAUCCGAUAGCGCGAGGCCCGAAGGUCCCCCGCUUUCCCCCGUAGGGCGUAUGCGGUAUUAGCCUGGGUUUCCCCAGGUUAUCCCACACUACCGGGCAGAUUCCUAUGCAUUACUCACCCGUCCGCCGCUCGCCACCAGGGAGCAAGCUCCCCGUGCUGCCGCUCGACUUGCAUGUGUUAGGCCUGCCGCCAGCGUUCAAUCUGAGCCAUGAUCAAACUCUGA